GAUGAACGCUGGCGGCGUGCUUAACACAUGCAAGUCGAACGGGAAACCUUUUAUUGAAGCUUCGGCAGAUUUAGCUGGUUUCUAGUGGCGGACGGGUGAGUAACGCGUGGGUAACCUGCCUUAUACAGGGGGAUAACAACCAGAAAUGGUUGCUAAUACCGCAUAAGCGCACAGGACCGCAUGGUCCGGUGUGAAAAACUCCGGUGGUAUAAGAUGGACCCGCGUUGGAUUAGCUAGUUGGCAGGGUAACGGCCUACCAAGGCGACGAUCCAUAGCCGGCCUGAGAGGGUGAACGGCCACAUUGGGACUGAGACACGGCCCAGACUCCUACGGGAGGCAGCAGUGGGGAAUAUUGCACAAUGGGGGAAACCCUGAUGCAGCGACGCCGCGUGUAGGAAGAAGUAUCUCGGUAUGUAAACUUCUAUCAGCAGGGAAGAUAGUGACGGUACCUGACUAAGAAGCCCCGGCUAACUACGUG
This 478-nucleotide ribosomal RNA is filed under the name uncultured bacterium. RNAcentral describes it as "partial 16S ribosomal RNA". It matches the Rfam family "Bacterial small subunit ribosomal RNA", at positions 28 to 507 of the family's 1533-position model. The record is from RNAcentral.